GCUAUUUGACUCAACGCGGGAAAUCUUACCGGGUCCGGACACACUGAGGAUUGACAGGCAAUAUCUCAUGUUUAAUAACCGUUAUUAACUCGGUUAUUUAAUACAUCGAGUGUUAAAUAUGCUAGUCCUUUCAUGAUUAUGUGAUAGGUGGUGCAUGGCCGUUCUUAGUUCGUGGAGUGAUCUGUCUGCUUAAUUGCGUUUCACUAAGGGCCCAUAAAUUCAAGGUAGUUAGCUAUCUGUCGCUCUAUGGACCCCUUAA
RNAcentral lists this ribosomal RNA (259 nucleotides) under Neogloboquadrina pachyderma. Its description in RNAcentral is "partial 18S ribosomal RNA". It matches the Rfam family "Eukaryotic small subunit ribosomal RNA", at positions 1193 to 1389 of the family's 1831-position model. Lineage: Eukaryota; Foraminifera; Rotaliida; Globorotaliidae. The record is from RNAcentral.